Chionomys nivalis (European snow vole) is the source of this 1367-nucleotide long non-coding RNA. RefSeq lists it as uncharacterized. The transcript has 3 exons. NCBI's taxonomy places the organism in Eukaryota, Metazoa, Chordata, Mammalia, Rodentia, Cricetidae. The record is from RefSeq and is a predicted model, not a curated record.
GGUACAGCAGAGGAGAUUUCUUGUAAAUAGUCAAUUAACCAGGGAGCUCGGGCUUUCUGGUUAAUUGUGGUUUUACUACUCCUUGGUAUUUGAUAACUCUCUUACCAGUUUGGUUCAGUUACAGCAUUUAUAUUUGAAUCCGUUGAGCAGGAACAUUUGAAAACCACCAGUUAAGCCAGGCAGUGAUAGAGCACACCUUUAAUCCCAGCACUCGGGAGGCAGAGGCAGGCGGAUCUCUGUGAGUUUGAGGCCAACCUGGGCUACAAGAGCUCGUUCCAGGACAGGCUCCAAAGCUACAGAGAAACCCUGUCUCAACCCCUCCCCCCCCAAAAAAAAAGAAGAAAAGAAAACCACCAGUUAUUUCUAAAAGCCGUAACUUAAUUUUUUCUUGUUUGUUUUCAUCAGCUGAUUUGAGUAAGAAAAUGUUUGCAUCUUAAUGUACAGAAUGGAACCACAGUGAAUAAUCUUUUCUGUACGCCACUGUCACCUUUCACCAUUUGGGAUCUGCAUCCUGAGAAGGUUUUGUUCUCACUGUGGACUGGUCUGGAAGAGUAUGUUUCAGUCGGGCCAUGUCAGGAACGACACUCAUCUGUGGCUUUGUCAAGGCUCCUUGGGGGCCAGGGACUUGUGGCUUGAGACUUUACCUCCAUGGCACAGACUCGGCCUGUGGUUCAGAGCUUCAAGGUAGAGUACCCGGAGGUGUUGCUGUCAUGCAUGGCUUCUGCUGAGGGCAAAGCAAGGGCCUUUUCUGACUUUGGAUUGGAGGUAAUCAUACUGUAACCCCUGUGGCAUGGUGCUUUUGCUUCACUGAUCUCUGCCUAGAGCUCUAAAAGUCAUAAUCUUAACUCAAUUGUUGGUGCUAUAUGUGUGUUCUGGCAUCCAGAAAUUGGGUAAAAAGCUGCACAGAUACUUAGAAAAUGACAGAGGGACCUUGGGGACCUGCCAGACUGCUGUCCUCACUAGACAAUGUUCUUGUGUGGGAUAGAGACCUUUCAGGUGAGGAGGAAGUGGCAAGAUAGCAAAAAGGCUAUAUAUGUGUGCCCCCAACAAACAGAAGGAGAACCCUGGGGCUUGAAGAAAAUCUAGAAGGAUCUCACAUCACCAACUUUAAAAAAACUAUAUAUGUGUAUGUAUACACAUACACACAUAUGUGUGUAUGUAAUUUGUGUGUGUCCAUGCUACAGUGUAUAUGGAAGUCAGAGAACAACUUGUGGGAAUGGGUUCUAGAUUCUACCACAUGGGUCCCAGUGAUUAAACUCAGUACAAGUGCCUUUACCUGCCAAGCCAUCUCAGCACCCCACUCACUAACUUCUGACAUUGAGGAGUGCCAAGCCCCUUCUUCCAGACCGUGGCUAUGGACAAAGCAU